This 576-nucleotide ribosomal RNA is filed under the name Lachnospiraceae bacterium MD335. Its description in RNAcentral is "bacterial SSU rRNA". The record is from RNAcentral. Lineage: Bacteria; Bacillati; Bacillota; Clostridia; Lachnospirales; Lachnospiraceae.
AACCUUACCUGCCCUUGACAUCCGGAUGAAUAAGGGGUAAUGCCCUUAGCCCUUCGGGGYAUCCGAGACAGGUGGUGCAUGGUUGUCGUCAGCUCGUGUCGUGAGAUGUUGGGUUAAGUCCCGCAACGAGCGCAACCCCUAUCUUCAGUAGCCAGCAUUCAGGAUGGGAACUCAGGAGAGACUGCCCGGGACAACCGGGAGGAAGGCGGGGAUGACGUCAAAUCAUCAUGCCCCCUUAUGGGCAGGGCUACACACGUGCUACAAUGGCGAAAACAGAGGGAAGCGAGCCGGUGACGGUAAGCAAACCCCAAAAACAUCGUCCCAGUUCGGACUGUAGUCUGCAACCCGACUACACGAAGCCGGAAUCGCUAGUAAUCGCGGAUCAGAAUGCCGCGGUGAAUACGUUCCCGGGUCUUGUACACACCGCCCGUCACACCAUGGGAGUCGGAAAUGCCCGAAGUCAGUGACCUAACCUUUAAGGGAGGAGCUGCCGAAGGUGGAGCCGGUAACUGGGGUGAAGUCGUAACAAGGUAGCCGUAUCGGAAGGUGCGGCUGGAUCACCUCCUUUCUAGGGRA